RNAcentral lists this long non-coding RNA (401 nucleotides) under Mus spicilegus (steppe mouse). RNAcentral describes it as "lncRNA (ENSMSIG00000000277.1)". Lineage: Eukaryota; Metazoa; Chordata; Mammalia; Rodentia; Muridae. The record is from RNAcentral.
GCCAACCUGCACUUUCCUUCCCCUGGAAGAGCUGGGGCGAGAGAAGAAAACUAAGAUGAAUUGGCCAAACCACUUUAGAGGUCAGCUAAAGUCAGAGACUCAGAAAGGUGCUCUACAAGGGUGAGCUACACAGGGAGACAGAGGAAGGAGUCCACAGAGGCAUCACCAAGUUUCCUGGGAAACAGUAGGUCACACAUCUCCUGGAGCUGCUUCUAGAAGACCUGACCCAGAUGGCAGGAAUCUCACCCACGUGUGUGGAGGCACCACCCCAAUUUGCACACAAGAGUCAUCUGCUUACUUAGCAUCUGGAGCAGGUUGGUCGGGACCAACCUCAUCUGAAGAGCUUCUGGUCAUCUUGAACUUAACUCGUCCCUCAACUGCCUGAAGGAAGGCAGAGACCU